This 253-nucleotide ribosomal RNA is filed under the name uncultured bacterium. RNAcentral describes it as "partial 16S ribosomal RNA". It matches the Rfam family "Bacterial small subunit ribosomal RNA", at positions 524 to 776 of the family's 1533-position model. The record is from RNAcentral.
UACGUAGGCAGCAAGCGUUGUUCGGAGUUACUGGGCGUAAAGAGUGCGUAGGCGGUUCCCUAAGUUCGGUGUGAAAUCUCCCGGCUCAACUGGGAGGGUGCGCCGGAAACUGGGGGGCUUGAGUGUGGGAGAGGAAAGCGGAAUUCCUGGUGUAGCGGUGAAAUGCGUAGAUAUCAGGAGGAACACCGGCGGUGUAGACGGCUUUCUGGACCACGACUGACGCUGAGGCACGAAAGCGUGGGGAGCAAACAGG